RNAcentral lists this long non-coding RNA (1152 nucleotides) under Cricetulus griseus (Chinese hamster). Its description in RNAcentral is "lncRNA (ENSCGRG00015033824.1)". Lineage: Eukaryota; Metazoa; Chordata; Mammalia; Rodentia; Cricetidae. The record is from RNAcentral.
GGGCUAGUCAAGGCUCCUAAUCCACUCAAAGGGCAGGUGCAGAGCCAGGAACAAUCAGCAAUUAAUUACCAAGAGAUAAACGUGCAGAAGGAGAAAAUGACCGUCACUCACCUUCAUCAAGAAGAGGCCAUUGUGCUGGGUAGGAUCAGCAUCCAACCACUUGACGGGAAAGACUGUGAAGAGGUGAACCCCAUGAAAGGGUCAUUCGGUAAGGGCCGCGACCCACAGAUUGAGAACCACUGCUUCAUGCUCAAAACAUCACAGAGAAGGACCUCAGAGAGGAUUGCCUGCCUAUGUGGGUUGUACCUCUCAACGUUUGCCAGCUUAUGAGUGAAAACUGAGAAUCCAGAAGAUAGUUACUUCUUACAAUAAUGCAUGCGGGUUUAUUUAGAAAAAUACAGUUUAUGAAACAAAAAAAUGGUACGUAUGGUACUAUUUUACAUUUAUGCCAUUUUUUUCUGUCUAGCUUAAUAAACGACAGAUGGGGUCGCCUGUUUCGCCUGUUUGCUUCUGCAUUUGCUCUGUUGUGACAGUGACUGAGUUUUCCCAAAGCACUUGGCUUUAUGCCCAUAAGGGGAGGACAAGAGAAGACAAAGCCAAUACAUCUCAUUGCGAAACAGUUUUGACUUUGCACACCCCUGACCCUUUUGAUAUAAAUGGCAUCCAGGGAUAAGAAAUAAGAUUCUUAUUUCUGGAUAAGAAUUGAAAUGCUGCUUUAUGUAGGAAAGGGAUGCCUUUAGUGGGGACCAAGGGCUAGAAGCCAGGAUGUCCUCAAGUUUACCACCAUGAGAGGUGUAGUCUACACAGCCAGUGGUGCUGGACAGCAGGGUGUCCACUGGUGUGACCCAAGAGUGUGUGGACAGCAGGGUGUCCACUGGAGUGACCCAGGAGUGUGUGAGGACAAUCUCUGAGUCUUGAACAGCAGCUGGCAGAGUAUGUCUGGAGGCUGAAUCCUUUGGGAUAGGUUUUGUUUGUUUGAUUUAGCUAACUUGCUGUGUUAGUUUUCGUUUGGUUGUGUGUGUGUGCAUAUGUGUUCUUUGUUUUUUGUCAUUGUGGCCAAAUACCUGGGUAAAAAGGAGGAAAUAUUUCUUUGGUUCACAGUUUCAGAGGGUUCACCUUGUGCUCCUUGGCUUUGUUGAGUCUAACUUGUUG